GGGAAUUUUCCGCAAUGGGCGCAAGCCUGACGGAGCAACGCCGCGUGAGGGAGGAAGGCCUGUGGGUUGUAAACCUCUUUUCUCAAGGAAGAACACAAUGACGGUACUUGAGGAAUCAGCAUCGGCUAACUCCGUGCCAGCAGCCGCGGUAAGACGGAGGAUGCAAGCGUUAUCCGGAAUUAUUGGGCGUAAAGCGUCCGUAGGUGGUUAUAAAAGUCUGUUGUUAAAGCCCACAGCUCAACUGUGGANNGGCAGUGGAAACUGUAUGACUUGAGUGUGGUNGNNNUAGAGGGAAUUCCUAGUGUAGCGGNGAAAUGCGUAGAUAUUAGGAAGAACACCAGUGGCGAAGGCGCUCUACUGGGCCAUAACUGACACUGAUGGACGAAAGCUAGGGGAGCGAAAGGGAUUAGAUACCCCUGUAGUC
This 424-nucleotide ribosomal RNA is filed under the name uncultured cyanobacterium. RNAcentral's name for it is "bacterial SSU rRNA". It matches the Rfam family "Bacterial small subunit ribosomal RNA", at positions 357 to 795 of the family's 1533-position model. Lineage: Bacteria; Bacillati; Cyanobacteriota. The record is from RNAcentral.